UGACCUGGUGGUGGCGCCAUUCAUUUAACUUAGCCAGCGGUGCUGCCUUCUGCUCUAAGUAGUUUUGGCUGGAUUGGGCUGGGGAGGAGUGAAUGCAAGUCAAACGGAGUCCUGCCUCAGGUUUCAGGAUCUGCUGCCAAAGAAAGAAGAAGCGGCAUGGAGAACCGGGAGGGAGGAGCGAGGGUGAAGAGAAAGCAGAAGCCUGCAAAUACGGGGGGGAAAGAGAGAGGCAUCCUGGGCAAAGCACCUCCCUGUUAGCAGGGACAUAGUCAGAUCUGAGUUGAGCGUUGCCAGCACCUUGGGUGACCAGGCCGGUUUUGUGCUGGGCGACCUCCCUGUAAGCAGGGCUCGGGUCUUUGCUGUAGUUGGCCUUUUGCCUUGUUGCUCCUUUGGCUGCCUGGGGAGCGCUGGCCCCCUGUAUGGAGGGUGAGAGCCACCUCUUUGCACCGGAGUGGGAAAUGCAGCUCGCUGGACACCAGGGCCACCUUCUAAGCAGGGAUCUGCUGUCAAAGAAAGAAGCGAUAUGGAGAACUGGGAGGCCAGCGCGAGCAAGAAGCAGAAGCUUUUCACUGUCUUAUUUUGUGCAAUUCUCUUUUGUGUUUAGUAAUUGCAGUUCAAGCAUGUAUGUUGUAGUUGAUUUUUCCUCAUUGGCUUCAUUUUCUCCUCUGAAUAAAAUUUUUGUGCAUGUUGAAGUAGUUUCUUCUUCUCAUCUUUGAAACUGUAAAGCAAUCACAGGAGAUGACGGUCUGUAUUUGAGGUACAGGCUCUACACAACAAGAUAUCUAAAAGGAGGGUUUAACUCACCUCUCCCAGCCACAGUUUUGGUUAAAGGGUGAGCUGAGGAAUGCAGCCUUCUUCAGUUCAACCUCUGCCUCACUAGAAGUUUGGGGCUGGGGGUGGAAUUGGUGCUGACUGACUCCACGCUAUCCUGGAAGCGCCACUGUGCUGAUGAGUAUAGAAGGGUGAAUCUUGCCCCUCCAGGCACUCACAUGCUUGCAUACUGUUUCAGGCUUUGACCUGGCAAAUCCACAGCAGGCCCAUAUUGAAUUUUGAUAUUCAAUUUAGCAGCAUGAAGGCAUUUGUUUCUUACUGGUUGAACUGUGUUUGCCAUUGGUUUCUUUCCUCCACCGCUAUGGAAAGGAAAAUCCUUCAAGCUGAUCUGGGUGUUUUGGUGUCCUUUAUUUGAGGCAUAGUGCUGACUGAUGUAGCAGAGCUCUUCCCUUAAUCUUGCCCAUGUCCUGUGUCAAGCCAGCUCAGGGUAGUUUUUUAGCUGAAUAAGAUUGGCUCAUUUCCUGGAACACUCAUGCUGGACUCUGCUCCAGUUUUUUCUUCAGAGGUGUCAUCCAAAUGCAAUACUUUUAGAUUUAAGGGAUGACUGGGGUGUGCUCAGGAGUGCUUGGUUCCCUACCAUCUGUUAGUGUGGUUCUCUCUGCUGGUGCUUUAUCCCUCCUCUUCUUUAGAGCCUGAACUAUUGCACAUUCUGGGAUGAUGUAGCUGUAAUCAAUGGGGGUGCUCAUUUUGUUUCUCUGUUAUGUUGUGAUUUAGUUUCAGAGGUAGCUGAGCCCUGUGUGGCUGUUGGCUCACUCCCCCGCUUCCCAAAGGGAAGGAGGAGAGACUGGGGGUUGGGUGAUCAAGUAGAACUAAUGGAUUGGGAUUUAAAACAAUUUACUAAUGUUGAGAAAAGAAAUGGGGAAAGAGGGUAACAGCUAUGAUACA
This 1716-nucleotide long non-coding RNA is filed under the name Phasianus colchicus (ring-necked pheasant). Its description in RNAcentral is "lncRNA (ENSPCLG00000000770.1)". Lineage: Eukaryota; Metazoa; Chordata; Aves; Galliformes; Phasianidae. The record is from RNAcentral.